GACGAACGCUGGCGGCGUGCUUAACGCAUGCAAGUCGAACGGAAAGGCCCUGCUUUUUUCGGGUUCUCGCGUGGCGAACGGGUGAGUAACCCGUGAGUAACCUGCCCUUGCCUUUGGGAUAACUUCCGGAAACUGGGGCUAAUACCGGAUAGUUGCUCCUGCUGCAUGGUGGGGGUUGGAGAGUUUCGGCGGUUGGGGAUGGACUCGCGGCUUAUGAGCUUGUUGGUGGGGUAGUGGCUUACCAAGGCUUUGACGGGUAGCCGGUCUGAGAGGGUGACCGGCCACAUUGGGACUGAGAUAGGGCGCAGAAGUGUACGGUAGGGAGCAGUGGGGAAUAGUGUACUGUGGACGGGAGGCGGAUGCAGCAGCGGCGCGUGCGGGAUGACGGUCUUCGGGUGGUAAACCGCGUCCGCCUGUGACGGGGCGUGAGGGACGUUAAUGGGUUAUGAAGCACCGGCUAACUACGUG
Molecule: ribosomal RNA, 468 nt
Filed under: uncultured bacterium
Lineage: Bacteria
Description: partial 16S ribosomal RNA
Rfam family: Bacterial small subunit ribosomal RNA
Source: RNAcentral